AAAACAAGCAGAGGCAGGAGGAAAACAUACUGUUCUUUGCAAUCUGAUCACCUCCGUGCAAGCCUCUGGGUUACACACCCGGGGACGCUGGGGCCCAGAGGCGUAGAUUAGCCCAGGCAGGAAAACCGAGCGUGGUGACUGGUCCUGCGCAGAUUAGAAACACAUUGUUGGAGAAGGGGGGUCGGGGGCGAGACUGUGCACGGCAGCAUGGCUGGAGUCUGGGUGUGGGGCCCCGGCGAGCGGGCCGGGCGCGGAGGGGGCAGAAGAAGGAGUGCGGAUAAUGCUCUGUUUGUGAGCUGAGAUUCCAGCUCCUGGGGUGGCCCCUGGCAGCUGCCUAGGCCUCACAGGGAGAAAUCGGGAACAACAAAGGCGCUGGGACAAAAGCGGCUCUGGCCAGAGGGGCUGCGGGCUCUGUGGGGCCAACAGCACUUCAGUUCUGAGGGGCACGGCUCCACCCUGGUAUGAGGCUGGAGGCGGACUGUCAAAUGGAGCUUACCGAGGAAAGGGAACUCAAGUUUUCUGGGUUACUGACACCGAGUUGUCCCAAACCACAUCAGUGCCUGUUGAAAUGUUAACUAUCCGCCAGCUGGGAAUUUUGUCACUGGGAAACCGGUAUAGCAAGCGCCCGUUAGCUUCCCGCCCAGGCAAGGACAUUGAGGGGUGUGAAGACCAAAGUAUGUCUUCCUGUCUUUGCUUCUGAGCUGACACUCGAGAAACUGUGAGACCCACAGCCCCUCAAAUCCCCCUUCUUCUGCCGGCUCCUCAUACCUGCUGAGCAAUCAUGAAAAUUCUCCCGCAGCCUGUACUCUAGCGCCCCCUGCUGGGAAUGACUGCUAACUCGUGGCUGAUUUGGCUGGGAAUCUGGCUGAUAGCAGCUAGGUUAACGUCGCCUCGCCCAGCUUUAUGAGGCCCACCUGGCCUUUCGCUCGGCCAACCUGUGAAUCCCAGGCUGCCGAAAUGGAGCAGGUGAACUUAACCACUACGCCGCUGGGCCAGCCUGGAAUCUGUGCUUUUAAGACUCUGAUGAUAAGCACGUUUGGCAAGAACUGAACUAGACACCUGGUCCACAGGCCUCUGUGUUCCAUAGUCUGGCCUCUCCAGGGGAGGAAGAGUCGGUUAGUUUAGCUCAAAACAGGGCUGGGAAUGGAAGGCGACUGAACCCCGGAAGACGGAAGUCGGCAAGAAGCUAUGAAGGCGCAGAAGCUAUUUGAAUUCUGGCCCGGGGAAGAGCAUUGCAGUCUGAGCCCUCCCGGGUGGGGCUCUCCGUGGCCAGCUCACAGCUGCCGGCAGAAGACCCCUUCUCGUGAUAAAAUAAGCGAAGAGUAGGUGUAUAUUUGUCUUCUGAGUUCUCAGCAAGAUCUGGAUGGAGCUGAUUCAGGUCACUUUCAGGGAGACCUAGUGUGCGUGUCUAGCCUGGUACUUGGCUUGACUCCUGUCAUCAUUCCUCCUUGGGACCAGGGCCUGGCCCUCACAUCCCAGCUCCGGUUGGGUUUCCAGCCUGUGUAGGCACAUCUUCCGGUAUCAGCUUCUGGCUACCUGGUACCCACAGGCUCCUAGACUUUGACUUGCUCCUCCACCUACCCACCUGCUCCGGCACUGAGACAGAAAUGGCCGUGCUACCCGUGAAGCUGCUCCUGGAGCACCCAGCUGCCCUUCUAGGACCAGUCUAGAACCAAGGUGGGUCAUUCCUGUUGCCCUCUUUAUUCACAAGGGAUCAGGCAGCUGCUUGGUCCAGGCAGACCUCUCCCCUCCUCCGAGCUCUGGAAUUCCUAUUCUUAAUUCCUGAACCACCUCACGCCACCACGCCAUUUGUGCGUUGUAAAUACUUGGUGACAAACUAUGACUGUUGUGGAGUUUGGAGAUAAAAGGAAAAGCAGUUGCAUUACGGUGGAGGUGACUGCCUAGAUGGGCCCUAUAAAACUGAUGUGGUACUCGACUUCUUACUGCUUUGUAUGGAAUGACAAGAUACAUUGAAUGUGUUAUAGGAAAUAUCUAGGAAGACACUAAUCUUUUCCAAAAUCCAAGUCAACUCUGAGUCUUCAACAAUGCUUCCAGCUUCUACAUUAAUUCAAACAAUCCAGAUAUGUGGAACGUGUAACAUAAAGCCAUAGCCUCUUUCUGGAAUCACUUCUAUGAUUUUCUCAUCUAAGAUAUUCUUUAUGGGCAGCAAACUCACAUUGACAACUUAUGGAUAGUUUGAAUUCCUUCCAUCAUUUUUCCACACCAACAAAAUGACCGAUACGGAUCAGCUUGGAAAAGCAGUCUGGGAAGACUUCUAAUGUAAAAACUCCAAGUAAAGGUUUUAGAAUACAAUCCAUGGUAGCAGGUCAGCUGUUUAUAUUGUUCAGGCUUGCAGUGCCGAAUCAGAAUCUGAGGAUGCAUCUGAGAUGACAUCAGUCCUAUCUCAUAUGCCAACUCUGAUCUAUGUUUAAUGGUUUCCUAGAGCACUAUGUGAAAAGAAGUGGGGAGGCCCAGUCUGGGCUGAGUAAAAAGAGAAUGCAAUGAUCGAUUAGUGAUGUCGGCCAUGGCAGGACAGCAUGGUAGUUAACAGCAUGGGCGUUGUCAUCAGAGAAACAGAAGUUCAAGUUCUGUCUCUGCCACUUAUUAGCAGGGUAACCUUGGGCAAGUUACCUAAUCACUUUCAGGCUUGUUUCUCAUCAAUAUAAUGCAGGUAGAUUAUAGCACCUACUUCACAGGGUUCUUAUGGGGAUUAGUUGAGAUAAUUCAUGCCAAGUGCUUAGCAACGUAUCUGGCACAGAGUUCUCAAUAAAUAUUAGCUAUUAUUAUCAUAAAUAUCAUGGGCCCAGGAGUAAGGUGAGGCCGCUUGUGCUCAGCAUAUCUGCCAUCCCAGGUUGAGGCUUAGAUGAAUCCUUGUAGAGACUUGUGACUGAGACACCUUUCAAAGGCGGUUAUAGAGGUUGUGGGAAUUUUGUUCCUAGGAUAUUAGCAAAAAGUUUUCAGUAGAUGUUGGUAUUAAGUUUCAUUCUAUAGAUACAUCUUUUUUCCUGCAUAAAUAUCAAGUGGUAUCUCAGGCUCAUCCACCAGCACAGACCCUCAUUGUAGGUAAGUGCAGGUCUGAUCUGACUUUCUAAUUGGAUCCUAAUUGUUUACACGACAAAAGAAAAUUCCUCAUUGUCCUUGGCAUGGCUUAAAAAGAUUUACUCCUGCCUGACUUCCCAGCCCCGUCUUCUGCUUCUCUCCAAUAAGUCCCCUGAGCUCUAGCUGUACUGAACCACUUAUUUCCAAAAUUCAUUGUAUUCUUGCCUAACUUUGUGCCUUUGCACAUGCUGUUCCUGCCUAGGAUGCUGUUCCCCACGUUGUCUGUCUAUACAUUAUUCUCUGGAAUAGUUUACACAGGAUUGGGAUUAUAUUUGGUAGAACUUUCCAGUGAGGCAAGCCAGGACUAGGGUUUCCUUUGUAGGAAGACUUUUUUAUUAGAGAUUUAAUUUCUUUAUUGGCUAACAAUCGCUCAGGUUUUAUAUAUGUUCUUGAAUCAAUUCUGGUAACCUACAGCUUUUUUUUUUUUUAUAAUGAAUCAACUUUGCUGUUUAUCUCAUGACCAUAAUACUAUCAAAAUAUCUGGGGGAAAUUUUUCAAGAAAAAUUGGAAAAUUUUAAGUGCAAUAUAAAUUUGUGUUUAACUGAGAAAGCUCUGGAAGAAUAACUAUUAUUUAGGUUUCCAAGUGUAAAAUUAUGAGUGCCUAGAUGUUGACAAGUUCAGAAAAGCUCAAGGUUUGUAAAAAAUUUUCAGCCUAGUAAAAUUCUAUGGUGUGGCAGAAUCUUACUUAUUUAUCUAUUUUCCCCGUGAUUAAUAGAAAUAGAAUUGUAACUGGGCAAUUGGCCAUUUAGUGAAAGGCUGCUUGUCUUGCCCUUGAAGGGACUGAUUGGGUCUGCACUUCCCCAGUACCUUUUCCGUUCUCUGGCUGGGAGAUAGGGAGGAGCGGAUCGCUUCCUUUGGAUCCAGUGAGGGGAACCUCAUGUUGAAGAUGGCAGAGUGAUACCACCGACCCUGCACUGCCGACUUCUGGACCAAGACAUGAAAAGGAAAUUAACUUUAUCUUUUGGAUUGUACUUUUGAGACUCAUUUUGCUGCAGUUGAGCUUGUAGCCCAGCUAACACACCUGACAGUGGGUGAAUAGCAGGCAUGGUUUAGUGCCUCACAAUGCACUGUUUUCAAGUCUUAUAUCCAUUAGGAGUUAGUCCUGACCCAACUGUGAUAGGCCAAUGGGCAGUGGUUGAAAUACCUCAUUGAUUAUAUACAACUUAG
Molecule: long non-coding RNA, 4266 nt
Filed under: Equus caballus (horse)
Lineage: Eukaryota; Metazoa; Chordata; Mammalia; Perissodactyla; Equidae
Description: lncRNA (ENSECAG00000058986.1)
Source: RNAcentral